UACGGAGGGUGCAAGCGUUAAUCGGAAUUACUGGGCGUAAAGGGCACGCAGGCGGGUUGUUAAGUGAGAUGUGAAAUCCCCGGGCUUAACCUGGGAACAGCAUUUGAUACUGGCAGGCUAGAGUCCUGUAGGGGGGGGUAGAAUUCCAGGUGUAGCGGUGAAAUGCGUAGAGAUAUGGAGGAAUACCGGUGGCGAAGGCGGCCCCCUGGAAAUAGACUGACGCUCAGGUGCGAAAGCGUGGGGAGCAAACAGG
Molecule: ribosomal RNA, 253 nt
Filed under: uncultured bacterium
Lineage: Bacteria
Description: partial 16S ribosomal RNA
Rfam family: Bacterial small subunit ribosomal RNA
Source: RNAcentral